Long non-coding RNA from Populus trichocarpa (black cottonwood), 1187 nucleotides. RefSeq lists it as uncharacterized. The transcript is spliced from 2 exons. The record is from RefSeq and is a predicted model, not a curated record. Lineage: Eukaryota; Viridiplantae; Streptophyta; Magnoliopsida; Malpighiales; Salicaceae.
UUUACAAUAUUACUGACUAAUACCAGCAGUCCACAAUCCCCACACCCGUCUUCCCUUUUCUCUUUGCCAAAUCUCAAAUUCUCAAUCUCAACCCUACUGACUAACACCAACAGCGCAGCUGAUUCCUGUUCCACUCUCCAGUCUCCACUCACCAGCAGCGCAAAGAUUAAUCUCAUUUUUUUCUUUACUUUGUUUGCCUCUGAUUUGAUUGUCUCUACUCUCUCAUCUGAUUUUGCUUGCCAUUGUAAAUGCUGGAUUCCCUUCUUUUCUAGAUAGUGGCCAGUUAAAUAAUCUUGAACUUGUUGUUAUUCUUCUUGGUGCUGAAAAUCUGGUAAACACAUUACUUGCUGUUAAUUUCGGUUGGACAUUUUCUCUCCCUGUUUUCCCUUUGUUUCGAGUCCAUCUUGUGGUUGCUACAUGGAUAGAGUUCAUGAGGGAUUUUUAUGGUUUAGAGAUGGGCAUGAAGAGAAAAAAUAGUUUGUUAAACAUCUAAGAUUAAGGGAGAUGCGGGCACUGUCUGUGGCCCGAUGUAAUCUUGGUGAUCUUUGCAAUUAUGGAACCUACAAGUAUGUAGGCUCGUCGUGUUUAGGAAUAAAUUGUACGCCCUUUCAGUUGGUGUUUGUUCCACUUUUCUGAGGAUCAUGAACCUCUUAAGAUGCUCAUAAACCUCAUUGAGAAACAGAAUGGCUCGAUCAGAUCUUUCAUAUAAUUGCUAAUCAAAUGUCAGAGUUCAGCGAAUUCUUGAUCUUCUUUCUGUUUUUUUUUAGCAAAUUAAUAGCCUUUUACUCGUGACUGCAUGCAUGAAUUACUUGUAAUUUUGUGUUUCAAACAAAACUUUCUGUGAUAGUACAGAAGACCAACUGAGGUAAGAGGUUGAUACACUGGGCUACAUUUCAUAAAUGCAGCACUCACCGUUCAAAAAUUAUGUACAAGGAAACAACAGCUAGAAUGUUUACUUUGACUCUAAAGUUGAUUUGAUUUGGUUUUGGUAAUAAUGUAUUCAGCUAGAAUGUAUUCAUCACCUCUUUAAAGAUUGUUAGGAAGAUUGUUUUAGGUCCUGGUUGUUUUUCUUUUCUUAAGCUGUUUGUACACAAAAGAGGGUAUGUUUAUUCCUGGAUAAACAUUGUUGCUACUUGCUGCCAUGUUGUAAUUAUUUAAUUUAAUGCAAAUGUCAAUUAUAUUGAGAA